This 202-nucleotide long non-coding RNA is filed under the name Manihot esculenta (cassava). RNAcentral describes it as "long non-coding RNA (MESC_LNC004810)". Lineage: Eukaryota; Viridiplantae; Streptophyta; Magnoliopsida; Malpighiales; Euphorbiaceae. The record is from RNAcentral.
AAACCCCAGAAGAGUACAAGCUCAUUUGCGAAAGCAUGUGUAAACAGCUUGAUUCUGAAGGAUCAGUAAAAUCUGUAAAACAGGAAUUGGCAAAAACAGACAGUUCCAGCUCAAGCAUAAAAUCUUCAAGAAAACCAUCUGCUAAAACCUCCAAGAAGAAAGCUAAAGGGAAAAAGAAGCAGUCAAGCUCAGAUUCAGAGUC